AUUGAAGUUUUGUUCCUUAUAAAUUUGGUAUAAUUACUUCAAAUUGUGACCCUGUGCUCUUCAUUGCUAUACCCAGUUGAAGAUUCUCAGUAACUACAAUGGGCCUGUUGGUUUUUGUUUGCCUGUCCCUCUUUAAACGUGUUCGAUCAGAGAAGGCUCGGUCACCUAAGUCAAAAUGUCCUUAAUUUAUUCUCAUCAAGUGUCGCC
This 207-nucleotide long non-coding RNA is filed under the name Olea europaea (common olive). Its description in RNAcentral is "long non-coding RNA (OEUR_LNC010772)". Lineage: Eukaryota; Viridiplantae; Streptophyta; Magnoliopsida; Lamiales; Oleaceae. The record is from RNAcentral.